ACACACUGUCCUCCCCGGGGUACACACACUGUCCUCCCCGGGUGUACACGCUGUCCUCCCCGGGGUACACACACUGUCCUCCCCGGGUGUACACACUGUCCUCCCCGGGUGCACACGCUGUCCUCUCCGGGUGCACACACUGUCCUCCCCGGGUGCACACGCUGUCCUCCCCGGGUGCACACACUGUCCUCUCCGGGUGCACACGCUGUCCUCCCCGGGUACACACGCUGCCCGCCCCGGGGUGCACACGCUGUCCUCCCCGGGGUACACACACUGUCCUCCCCGGGUGUACACGCUGUCCUCCCCGGGUGCACACACUGUCCUCUCCGGGUGCACACACUGUCCUCCCCGGGUGUACACACUGUCCUCCCCGGGGUACACACACUGUCCUCCCCGGGUGUACACGCUGUCCUCCCCGGGGUACACACACUGUCCUCCCCGGGUGUACACACUGUCCUCCCCGGGUGCACACACUGUCCUCUCCGGGUGCACACACUGUCCUCCCCGGGUGCACACGCUGUCCUCCCCGGGUGCACACACUGUCCUCCCCGGGUGCACACGCUGUCCUCUCCGGGUGCACACGCUGUCCUCCCCGGGUGCACACGCUGUCCUCUCCGGGUACACACACUGUCCUCUCUGGGUGCACACGCUGUCCUCCCCGGGUACACACACUGUCCUCCCCGGGUACACACACUGUCCUCCCCGGGUGUACACGCUGUCCUCUCCGGGUGCACACACUGCCCGACCUCAGAUGCUCUCGGCCGCCACCCUGGCUCCACCCUGGCUCCCGGGGCAAAACCGGCAGAAAGCGCUAGGUCAUUCUUCACGGGAAAGGCCUGUGAACCCUGCUACGGAUGCAGCUCAGCUGGGCAGGGAGGCAGGGGCCCUCAGACCGAAGUCGGGAUGGGGGACAAGAUGUGGGGGCCACAUCCUCCGUGUCCCUCACAGAGCACCCAGCCUUUGAGAGUCCCAGAGCUUGCCCACCAACCCCUCAAAGGCAACUGA
This 1005-nucleotide long non-coding RNA is filed under the name Oryctolagus cuniculus (rabbit). RNAcentral describes it as "lncRNA (ENSOCUG00000036692.1)". Lineage: Eukaryota; Metazoa; Chordata; Mammalia; Lagomorpha; Leporidae. The record is from RNAcentral.